AUUGAACGCUGGCGGCAUGCCUUACACAUGCAAGUCGAACGGUAACAGGUCUUCGGAUGCUGACGAGUGGCGAACGGGUGAGUAAUACAUCGGAACGUGCCUAGUAGUGGGGGAUAACUACUCGAAAGAGUGGCUAAUACCGCAUGAGAUCCACGGAUGAAAGCAGGGGAUCGCAAGACCUUGUGCUACUAGAGCGGCCGAUAGCAGAUUAGGUAGUUGGUGGGAUAAAAGCUUACCAAGCCGACGAUCUGUAGCUGGUCUGAGAGGACGAUCAGCCACACUGGGACUGAGACACGGCCCAGGCUCCUACGGGAGGCAGCAGUGGGGAAUUUUGGACAAUGGGCGCAAGCCUGAUCCAGCAAUGCCGCGUGCAGGAUGAAGGCCUUCGGGUUGUAAACUGCUCUUGUACGGAACGAAAAGCCCCGGGUUAAUACCCUGGGGUCAUGACGGUACCGUAAGAAUAAGCACCGGCUAACUACGUGCCAGCCGCCGCCGUAA
This 498-nucleotide ribosomal RNA is filed under the name uncultured bacterium. RNAcentral describes it as "partial 16S ribosomal RNA". It matches the Rfam family "Bacterial small subunit ribosomal RNA", at positions 30 to 523 of the family's 1533-position model. The record is from RNAcentral.